AAAGACCUGGUUGCCUCCCUAAUUAUUUAUCUUCUCAUUUUGUUAGUGACUCAAAAUUGUUUGUUUAUAGUUCUUAGUCAUUCUCACUCUACUAUUUCAUAAACCGAUCUGAGCGGAAAUUUUUUUUAUUAUCACAUCAUAAGCCUUAUAUGUGAUCUAUAUGAUACGUGUACAAAUGAGCAUCUUUGAAUAAUGUAAUAAAAUUAAAUAAUUAACAAUCCAUAUCAUUAUUUGUAUUAUUUGUACUGUAUUGAAACUUACAAAGUUUUCUUUUUGAAAAUACAAGAAAUUCUACCAGGGCCUGGAUAUUACUUUGUAAUAUCUUUUCAUUUUUUUAAUUGACAUAGACCCAAGUCCUAUAUUAAAAUAAAAUGAGGAUGAUGCGUCGUGAAUGGUCGGGAUAGCUCAGCUGGUAGAGCAGAGGACUGAAAAUCCUCGUGUCACCAGU
Molecule: transfer RNA, 448 nt
Filed under: Potentilla nivea
Lineage: Eukaryota; Viridiplantae; Streptophyta; Magnoliopsida; Rosales; Rosaceae
Description: partial transfer RNA-Phe
Rfam family: tRNA (bases 395-448)
Source: RNAcentral